RNAcentral lists this ribosomal RNA (253 nucleotides) under uncultured bacterium. RNAcentral describes it as "partial 16S ribosomal RNA". It matches the Rfam family "Bacterial small subunit ribosomal RNA", at positions 524 to 776 of the family's 1533-position model. The record is from RNAcentral.
UACGUAGGUGGCGAGCGUUAUCCGGAAUUACUGGGCGUAAAGGGCGCGUAGGCGGGACUGUAAGUCAGAUGUGAAAUCUCCCGGCUCAACCGGGAGAGUGCAUUUGAAACUGUAUGACUUGAGUGAUGGAGAGGUAAGCGGAAUUCCUAGUGUAGCGGUGAAAUGCGUAGAUAUUAGGAGGAACACCAGUGGCGAAGGCGGCUUACUGGCUCGUAACUGACGCUGAGGCGCGAAAGCGUGGGGAGCAAACAGG